This 18-nucleotide small nuclear RNA is filed under the name Arabidopsis thaliana (thale cress). RNAcentral's name for it is "snRNA_06342". Lineage: Eukaryota; Viridiplantae; Streptophyta; Magnoliopsida; Brassicales; Brassicaceae. The record is from RNAcentral.
GAUCGAGCGUGGCCAACA